UGUGUGUGUGUGUGUGUGUGUGUGUCUUUGAAGAAGGUGCCAACUUCUUAACUUGUUGUUUAAUCAAGUGCUACAGUGAACAAGAUGUUUCUACCACUGCCUAAACCAUUCUUUGUAACAUGUCCUCCCUUUUUCUUUUACUUACUGCUGCUGUGAGUAUGCUUCAAUCUUUACAGCGACAGUGUUGCUGAAUAAAUGUUUGUUUUUUUCUCUUUGUAAA
This is a long non-coding RNA of Etheostoma cragini (Arkansas darter), 220 nucleotides long. RefSeq lists it as uncharacterized. NCBI's taxonomy places the organism in Eukaryota, Metazoa, Chordata, Actinopteri, Perciformes, Percidae. The transcript is spliced from 3 exons. The record is from RefSeq and is a predicted model, not a curated record.